Molecule: long non-coding RNA, 1346 nt
Filed under: Apteryx haastii (Great spotted kiwi)
Lineage: Eukaryota; Metazoa; Chordata; Aves; Apterygiformes; Apterygidae
Description: lncRNA (ENSAHAG00000005682.1)
Source: RNAcentral
GGGGCUCGCGGGGCGCCCGAGCACGGGGGCCGGAGCCACCUCGGCUGCUGGAAAGCGGCGGCGGUGGCAGCUGCAGUCCUUCGAGGGGCCCCGGGGCAGCGGCCAGCUGCGGUCUGCGGCCUCCCGGCUCUGCGGGGCUCCGUCCUGCCGCCCCGCACCGCGGCCCGGCUGCGCUUGCUCCGACACUGCCUUGUCCUGCUGCGGGGGGGGCGGGUUGGGUUUUUUUUCUCCUUAAAAAGAGCAAACUGUUCUGAAGGGAUGAGUAAAAAUAGACGAGACAAUUCCUAGGGGUCAGCACGUUGUCUGGGGUGGCCUGGAAAUAGCGGCGGCGCGGGGGCCCGGGGCGGCAGCGGCGGCACAGCCGGAGCCGGCGGCUCCCGUGGCCGUCCCCGCGCCGGCAGGCAUUUCGCCCCGUCAUGCAUUCCCCGCGUGUUUGCCCGCUGCCGUCACUGCGGCGGCGGUGGCGGUGGGCUGGCCGGUUCCCCGCGCCGCCUGCCGUCGGCCACUCGCCCGCCGGCGCCGCGCGGGGUCUAACCGGAGGUGGGACGCCGCUGGCAGCGCCACGGGCAUGGCCGCUCCCUGCCCUGACACGGCCCCCGGGCUCCCGGCUCUGCAGCCAGCAGAGUGGCACGGCUGUCACGGCGUGGGCCUGGUGGCAUGAGCAGUGUAGGGGGGCACUGCGGCGUGGGCAUCGCUGCCUGCGCACCGUGGUGCACACGGGCACUGCGUCACGUGCAUUGCACCGCAGCACAGGCAUCGCAUCCCAGCACGGGCAUCGCAUCACGGCGUGGGCAUUGCAUCGUGGCAUGGGCAUUGCAGUGCAGCACGGGCACUACAUCGCAGCACGGGCAUUGCAUCGCAGUGCAGGUAUCGCACCGUGGCGCAGGCAUUGCAUCACGGGCAUGGCAUCGCGGCAUGGGCACUGCAUUGCGGGCAUCGCAUCCUUCACAGGCAUUGCGUCUUGGUGCGGGCAUUGCAUCACAGCACAGCGGAGCUCAGCUUGCCCUGCAAAGCGCAGUGGUCCAAGGCGUGCGAAGGCACGUGACUGCAAGGGGCAGCGGGUGCCCGUUCACAUAAUCUCCUCCCCGCCAGCACCGGUGAAGCACCGAAAGCCCCGGAAGCAAAGGGCAGCGCUGGGGUUGGCACGGGCCCAGCAUGUCCCCACAUGCCACUCCGUUCCCGGGAGCAGCUGCCCGCGGCAGCUCCUCCUCGGGCAGCGUUUUAGUGCAGCGGUGCUGCUGCAGCCCCCCCGGCAGGCGGCUCUGAGGCUGCUCAGCCCCCUGCCAGCCCCGCCGUGUUUUUAAGUGAAAGCAAUAAAAAUAAGCGCACGGGUGCGCGUGAGCCCA